This 434-nucleotide ribosomal RNA is filed under the name uncultured Ruminococcus sp. RNAcentral's name for it is "bacterial SSU rRNA". It matches the Rfam family "Bacterial small subunit ribosomal RNA", at positions 341 to 792 of the family's 1533-position model. Lineage: Bacteria; Bacillati; Bacillota; Clostridia; Eubacteriales; Oscillospiraceae. The record is from RNAcentral.
ACGGAAGGCAGCAGUGGGGGAUAUUGCACAAUGGGGGGAACCCUGAUGCAGCAACGCCGCGUGAGGGAAGAAGGUUUUCGGAUUGUAAACCUCUGUCUAUGGGGACGAUAAUGACGGUACCCAUGGAGGAAGCUCCGGCUAACUACGUGCCAGCAGCCGCGGUAAUACGUAGGGAGCGAGCGUUGUCCGGAAUUACUGGGUGUAAAGGGUGCGUAGGCGGGACGGCAAGUCAGAUGUGAAAUGUAUGGGCUCAACCCAUAACCUGCAUUUGAAACUGUUGUUCUUGAGUGAGGUAGAGGUAAGCGGAAUUCCUAGUGUAGCGGUGAAAUGCGUAGAUAUUAGGAGGAACAUCGGUGGCGAAGGCGGCUUACUGGGCCUUUACUGACGCUGAGGCUCGAAAGCGUGGGGAGCAAACAGGAUUAGAUACCCUGGUA